RNAcentral lists this ribosomal RNA (439 nucleotides) under uncultured bacterium. RNAcentral's name for it is "partial 16S ribosomal RNA". It matches the Rfam family "Bacterial small subunit ribosomal RNA", at positions 339 to 795 of the family's 1533-position model. The record is from RNAcentral.
CUACGGGGGGCAGCAGUGAGGAAUAUUGCACAAUGGGGGGAACCCUGAUGCAGCAACGCCGCGUGGAGGAUGACGCAUUUCGGUGUGUAAACUCCUUUUAUAUGUCAAGAAAAUGACGGUAGCAUAUGAAUAAGCACCGGCUAACUCCGUGCCAGCAGCCGCGGUAAUACGGAGGGUGCAAGCGUUACUCGGAAUCACUGGGCGUAAAGGACGCGUAGGCGGGUUGGAAAGUCAGGUGUGAAAUCCUACAGCUUAACUGUAGAACUGCACUUGAAACUUCUAAUCUAGAGUAUGGGAGGGGGAGAUGGAAUUAGUGGUGUAGGGGUAAAAUCCGUAGAUAUCACUAGGAAUACCGAAAGCGAAAGCGAUCUGCUGGGACAUUACUGACGCUGAGGCGUGAAAGCGUGGGGAGCAAACAGGAUUAGAUACCCGCGUAGUC